Long non-coding RNA from Pelmatolapia mariae (spotted tilapia), 3172 nucleotides. RefSeq lists it as uncharacterized. The transcript has 6 exons. The record is from RefSeq and is a predicted model, not a curated record. NCBI's taxonomy places the organism in Eukaryota, Metazoa, Chordata, Actinopteri, Cichliformes, Cichlidae.
AGCAACAAAACAACAAAGCAUAAAACAUUAAACAAAUGAGUAAAAGAGAUAUUAAUAAAACAAAUGCACCCUAAGAUACAGUUCUUUAUAAAAGCAAGAUUAAAAUAUAUCAACCAAUUCCGAGUAAAAGACCAUAAAACCACGAGUCCCAUCAAGGCCAGUCCAUAAAUGUUUGUAAGAUGACAACAGGCCACAACAAAACACAACAAAACAAGACAGCAGCAGUAUGGCACAAUCCUGUAACAAAAAAGGGAAACAGUCUUCAAGGUCCACCCUACCAUAUGCCACAUUAUAACUAACGCAAGAGUCCCACUUACCACUCUCUAAAGGGCAAUACUAAAAUGAGCGGCUUUCAUGAAGAAAGCAAACCUCUCUGCAAUGCUUAACCAUGUAAUGCUCUUGGCCACCAUGAAUGGAAAAAGCCUGCCAAAUGCCUCAGUGUGGUACUGAAGUGCAGUUGUUUCUUAUAGGGCCUCCAAUUAUCAGCUGGGAAGGUGUGGAUAUUAGUGCUGCAUUCGUGGACAUCACGUAAAAUCCUACCCCAAAAUCUACUUCACUACAUACGGGACAAACUGUGGUCCUUUUCAGCUCAAUAUGAAACGCGUAAUAUUUUCUCUGAGCACGGGACGAUUCCGUUUAAUACAGGACGGUUGGCAACUCUAUUAACUAACCUUAUGAAUAAAAUAAAGUUCACUAUCAGUAACAUCAUAGCACCCCCCUCAGCUGUAUAGAAACUGCUACCCUCUAGGGUGGCACAUCUGUUCCACCAAAUCCAGUUAAUCUGUGACGCCAGUUAAUCUGGAACACCGGCGUCCGCCUCGGGUCUCUCCUCCUCCUGCUUCACCUUUCCUUCAUCCACCUGCUGGCCUCAGUGGAAGCUCCGCCACAGCCACUACCAAACAACUGAGUUAUUUUUAUGCCAGCAUCUGGCCAAUCCACCACCUUUCAUUGUUUAUACAGCAGUGGUACAAACAGCGCCGGAUCAUGGACCCUGCGUUCUGCAGCCUGUGAGUUUCACAGUUAUCACAAAAAGACAAAAGAGUUUGUUCAUCCAACCACUGAUUUUUUUCCCAAAUGUAUUUCUGUGGUAGUUUGUUGGCAGGUUCUGGCUCCUCCGUCUAAAGCUAUCAUUACUUCCAGGUAUCUGAGAGGUCUGAUGGGAACCUUCAAUGAGAGGGCAGAGAAACUGAUGGAUAAACUUGCAGAUGUUGCCGACAGUAAAACAGAAGCUAAUAUGCUCCAGCUUGUCAACUGUUACCCUGGAUGUUAUUACUAAGGUUGCUUUCGGGGUGGACUUGGACCUGCUGAAGAACACUUCACAGUUCCCUAAAGCCAUUGAGACAUGUUUGAAAGGGAUGGCUCACUACAUUAGAGACAACGUUUUCGAGGAAUUACUUCAGUGUUUUUUAGAGUAUGUACUGCAAGUCUUGUUGCAUGAAAUGUUAACUUCUUCAAUCUGCCAUUCCAGUUUAAUCCAAAGAACAGAGGAUACAUUAAUGAGGUGAGGGAAGCGUGCCGUCUGCUGCGCAAAACUGGAUCUCAGUGGAUCGCUGAGAGAAAGGCCGCCAUUGAAAACGGUGGCGAGGUCCCCAAGGACAUCCUGACACAAAUCAUCAAAACUGCCAACCAAGAGGAAAUCAUGACUGAAGAAGAUGAGGAGUUUAUGCUGGACAAUUUCGUGACAUUCUUCAUUGCCGGAAAAAUGCUGCUGUGUUCAGACACCAAAUAAAAAACUAAAUGGAGAUACAAGCGGCGGAAAUGAGAUUCCUUCGAAGGGUGGCUGGCCUCUCCCUUAGAGAUAGGGUGAGAAGUUCCGCUAUUCGGGAGGGGCUCUGAGUAGAGACGCUGCUCCUCCACAUCAAAAGGAGCCAGUUGAGAUGGUUCUGGCAUCUGACAAGGAUACCUCCUGGGUGAGGUGUUCUGGGCAUGUCCCACCGGGAGGAGGCCCCAGGGCAGACCCAGCACACCUGGAGAGAUCAUUCAAAACGGAGAUGAGGUCCCCAGGACAUCGUGACACAAAUCAUCUAAACUGCAAGCCAAGUUAUAUGUGUAUGUAGGUGUGUGUGGGUGUGGCCCUGGCAGGUGAUUGGCCACACCUGAAAACCGUGACACACCUGCAGCUGAUCAGGCCUCGUCGGAGGAACUACUUGAGAGUGUGGUGGAGCUCUCUCCGACGCUGGAUCAUUGCGUGGCUUCACGAGUAGCGGGGAGGCGAGAGGACAGCGAGCACGGGGUGCUCAUCACGGAGAAGCGGAGACAGGAGUACUAGCACUGGGAAGAGGACAGGGAUUUAUUGUCAUGUUUUUCCAUCACUGUAAAUAAACGCACUGCUAAGCACACAGAGCUCCGCGCCUGGGUCCUCCUUCCCUACACCCCCACGGUUUGCCAUGCCAGACCGUGACACCUUAUGCCCUGGCUAAAUGAGGAACUCAUGAAUUUGAAGAGAGAUUGUAGAAAAGCCGAGUGUCAUUGGCGAUGUUCCCGACUGGAAGUAUUUCUACAGACUUGGAAAGACACUGUCUUUUUUUCUCCCAUCAGCAUUGUCUGCAGCAAAAGCAAACCAUUUCUCAAAUCUCAUGAUGUGUCAUAAGCAUAAUUCAAAACUUUUAUUUAACACAGUGUCCCAAUAUACAGAAAGUAAGCUAACUAUCUGCUGCUCAAAUUGUCAUGGUCCUGAGUCUGUGGACUCAGUGGAUUUGGUUUUGAUUAUUAUCUUGUUUUAUGUUCGUUCUUGUUGGGAAUUUCUUGUUCUUAGGUUUUGUUUCUGUUUUGUAUUUCGAGCUCCUUUUGUUCUGUGUCUCUGUGCCGGUCCUGGUUCCACGUCUUUGUGUUCCCUCCCUGUUGCCAUUUCUUGUGUUAAGCUCGUGUCUGUGCAUACCUGUUGUAUUUCCUGUUUUACUUUGAAGGAUCUUAUCUUAUGUCAGUGUGUUCAGUUUACGUUUCCCCUGUCUCGUCAGCUCUGAUUUCUCCCAGCUGUGUUGCCCUCCUGUAUCCCAUUCCCUGAUUGCCCCUGUGAGUAUAUAAGCCCUGCUUGUUGCUGGUCCGUGUGUGUUGUCUCCCAGUGUUUCCGCUGUAUGUAGGUUUCAGGUCAGUUUUGUUAGUUUUCUCAGUUUAGGUUUCUCUGUAUGCCAUUCCUCCUGUAUCCUGUUCACUUCACAAAAUAAAGUUCACU